This 75-nucleotide transfer RNA is filed under the name Roseimicrobium sp. ORNL1. RNAcentral's name for it is "tRNA-Thr". It matches the Rfam family "tRNA". From Rfam's summary of the family: Transfer RNA (tRNA) molecules are approximately 80 nucleotides in length. Their secondary structure includes four short double-helical elements and three loops (D, anti-codon, and T loops). The record is from RNAcentral. Lineage: Bacteria; Pseudomonadati; Verrucomicrobiota; Verrucomicrobiia; Verrucomicrobiales; Verrucomicrobiaceae.
UCCGGGGUAGUUCAGUGGUAGAACGCUCGGCUUGUAACCGAGAGGUCGCUGGUUCGAAUCCCGCCCCCGGAUCCA